UGGAGGUCGAUGCACGCCAGUGUGCACUCACUAUAUGUCUACCCGGUCUAUGUACAUACGGGAGUACGGUGAGAAGUCGAGUAAAUUCCGUGGAAGUGGGACUAGAACGAAAUAAGAAUUCUCGACGAGAAAAAGCUUCAUUGUAGCGAAGAAAAUCGCCGGAUUGCAAUGUAAAGCAGUGGUACUUCUUUCCCGGAAUGGCAAUCUAAUAUUUAAAUCUUCCUGGAAGUAAGGUAGCUCGAAUCGAACGCCCCGGGUGUUUCACGAGAAGAUUCGUGCGAAGUACAUUGUCGUGAAGGCUAAACCACAAUUCUACGUACGAUAUUUUUAACAGUUCCACGUUCUUCGCUUCACCGUUUCUUCCGUUAAGUAACCUAAGACGAAAAAAGGGAAAAUAUCAUUUUUUGAAGCUUCUCUUAACAUCUUUAAAACCUUUCUAAAAACAAAUUUAAAUUUCACACACUUUCUAAGCAUCCAUUAACGUGAAAUUAAUCAUAUCAAAUUAUGUGCCCACCUCAAAAUCAUUCAAAUUUUAUCACAGCUAUGUUUCACUAAAAAUGUUAUUUUAUUUUCAUUAUAUAUAAAAUAAUUGGAAUGGAUUUAGUAUAUUUUUCACCCUGUAUAUAUGUG
This 630-nucleotide unclassified non-coding RNA is filed under the name Bombus terrestris (buff-tailed bumblebee). RNAcentral describes it as "misc RNA ENSBTSG00005027010.1". Lineage: Eukaryota; Metazoa; Arthropoda; Insecta; Hymenoptera; Apidae. The record is from RNAcentral.